RNAcentral lists this ribosomal RNA (450 nucleotides) under uncultured bacterium. RNAcentral's name for it is "partial 16S ribosomal RNA". It matches the Rfam family "Bacterial small subunit ribosomal RNA", at positions 354 to 796 of the family's 1533-position model. The record is from RNAcentral.
GUGGGGAAUAUUGGACAAUGGGCGAAAGCCUGAUCCAGCCAUGCCGCGUGUGUGAAGAAGGUCUUCGGAUUGUAAAGCACUUUAAGUUGGGAGGAAGGGCAGUAAGUUAAUACCUUGCUGUUUUGACGUUACCAACAGAAUAAGCACCGGCUAACUUCGUGCCAGCAGCCGCGGUAAUACGAAGGGUGAAAGCGUUAAUCGGAAUUACUGGGCGUAAAGCGCGCGUAGGUGGUUUUGUAAGUUGGAGGUGAAAUCCCCGGGCUCAACCUGGGAACUGCCUCCAAAACUGCAUGACUAGAGUACGGUAGAGGGUAGUGGAAUUUCCUGUGUAGCGGUGAAAUGCGUAGAUAUAGGAAGGAACACCAGUGGCGAAGGCGACUACCUGGACUGAUACUGACACUGAGGUGCGAAAGCGUGGGGAGCAAACAGGAUUAGAAACCCCUGUAGUCC